Molecule: ribosomal RNA, 277 nt
Filed under: uncultured eukaryote
Lineage: Eukaryota
Description: partial 18S ribosomal RNA
Rfam family: Eukaryotic small subunit ribosomal RNA
Source: RNAcentral
UAGUCAUAUGCUUGUCUCAAAGAUUAAGCCAUGCAUGUCUAAGUAUAAACUGCUUAUACUGUGAAACUGCGAAUGGCUCAUUAAAUCAGUUAUAGUUUAUUUGAUGGUACCUACUACUCGGAUAACCGUAGUAAUUCUAGAGCUAAUACGUGCGUAAAUCCCGACUCCUGGAAGGGACGUAUUUAUUAGAUAAAAGGCCGACCGGACUCCGUCCGACUCGCGGUGAAUCAUGAUAACUUCACGAAUCGCAUGGCCUCGUGCUGGCGAUGUUUCAUUC